RNAcentral lists this ribosomal RNA (492 nucleotides) under uncultured bacterium. Its description in RNAcentral is "partial 16S ribosomal RNA". It matches the Rfam family "Bacterial small subunit ribosomal RNA", at positions 29 to 507 of the family's 1533-position model. The record is from RNAcentral.
AGUGAACGCUGGCGGUAGGCCUAACACAUGCAAGUCGAACGGCAGCACAGUAAGAGCUUGCUCUUACGGGUGGCGAGUGGCGGACGGGUGAGGAAUACAUCGGAAUCUACUUUUUCGUGGAGGAUAACGUAGGUAAACUUACGCUCAUACCGCAUACGACCUACGGUUGAAAGCAUUGGAUCUUCGGACCUUGCGCGGUUGAAUUAGCCGAUGUCGGAUUAGCUAGUGGGCGGGGUAAAGGCCCACCAAGGCGCGGAUCCGUAGCUGGUGUGAGAGGAUGAUCAGCGACACGGGAGCUUGGACAGGGUCCAGACUCCUAAGAGAGGCAGCAGUGGGGAAUAUUGGACAGUGGGCGCAAGCCUGAUCCAGCCAUCCCGCGUGGGUGAAGAAGGCCUUCGGGUUGUAAAGACCUUUUGUUGGGAAAGAAAAGCAGUAGGUUAAGACCCCGCGGUUCUGACGGUAACCAAAGAAUAAGCACCGGCUAACUUCGUG